UUCUUUAAAAUUAAAGAAUUUGGCGGUAUUUUAGUCUAUUCAGAGGAACCUGUUUUUUAAUUGAUAAUCCACGAUAAUUUUUACUUUUGUUUUAAAUUUAUAUAUCGUCGUUUAUAAAAAUUUUACAAUUUAAUUUUUUCAGAUCAAGGUGUAGUUUAUAUAAAAGUUAAAAUGGGUUACAAUGAAAAUUUUAAUUAAAUUGGAUUUGACAGUAAGCUCUAAAAUAUGCACAUAUCGCCCGUCGCUUUCACUUUAAGGUGAAAUAAGUCGUAACAAAGUAGGCUUAUUGGAAAAUGAGCCUGGAAUGCAAAUUAGAGCUUGUUAAGCGUUUUAUUUACAUUAAAAGGUUAUCUGUGAAAUUCAGUUUAAUUUGAACUUAAUUUAUUAUUUUUUAUUUUAUUAUUAUUUUAUUGGAAAAAAAAUGUUUAUUUUUAUUUUUUUUCUGAAAAAAUUUUAUUAUAGUUUAAUUUACUGUUAAGGAUUUAGGGUAUGUUCUUAAAAGAAUAAUUUGUUUUUUGUACCUUGUGUAUCAGGGUUUAUUUAUUUUAUGUUCCCGAAUUUAGAAGAGCUAUUUUUAUUGUAAAAUAACUAUUUUUAAUUUUUUCAUAGGGGUGAAAUGUUAUUCGUUUCUUAUUAUAUCUGGUUUUUCAAGAAAUUAAUUUAAUUUACUUAAAUUAUAGUAAUUUGUUUUGGGGAUAAGCUCAUUAUUAUAUUUUUAAAAUUUAAUUGUUUUUAAUUUUAUAUAGGAUUAGAAUUUUCCAUUAUUUUAAUUAUGUUAUAUUUUAUAGAUUUAAUUUUUUAUUGAAAUUUGGUUUCUAACUUUUCAUUUUCAGUAAUGAUGAUAAAAUUAGUAAGGUUAAGUAAAGGAAUUCGGCAAAUUUAAUUUCCACCUGUUUAUUAAAAACAUGGCGUUUUGUUGAUAAUUUAAGGUCUGACCUGCCCAAUGAUUUAAUGGCCGCAGUAUUUUGACUGUGCAAAGGUAGCAUAAUCAUUAGUUUCUUAAUUGGAAGCUGGUAUGAAUGGUUUGAUGAGAAAUUUACUGUCUCAUGAAUUUUAUUUUUAGGUAAAAAAGCCUAAAUCUUGUAUAAAGACGAGAAGACCCUAUAGAGUUUAGUUGGUUUUUUUUAAUUUAAGUUA
RNAcentral lists this ribosomal RNA (1137 nucleotides) under Homotrysis sp. NLG-2012. RNAcentral's name for it is "partial 16S ribosomal RNA". The record is from RNAcentral. Lineage: Eukaryota; Metazoa; Arthropoda; Insecta; Coleoptera; Tenebrionidae.